Molecule: long non-coding RNA, 534 nt
Filed under: Gorilla gorilla gorilla (western lowland gorilla)
Lineage: Eukaryota; Metazoa; Chordata; Mammalia; Primates; Hominidae
Description: lncRNA (ENSGGOG00000044649.1)
Source: RNAcentral
UCCAGGAGGCACCAGUUUCUCAGCAUCUGCCUUUUUGCUUGCUUGUUGGUGAAGCAUUAGGAAAAAGCAGCAAAGAUUCUUUGCAGGAUGUCCUAGGGAAAGAAGGUGCUGGAUCUUCUGUCUCCCAAUAACUUACUAGGCCAGAGCCAGUGACACAAGCAGCUAUUCUUGCUCCCAAUAUGAGGAGGCAAAGAAUCUAGUAAGUUCCAUCUGAUCUGAGAUCGUGUCUGAUGUAAGCCCAAGGUGUAAGAGGAGACAGGGCUAUAAGUGAGUGCAAAAAGGUCCUCAGGUGCACCUGAUCUCCCCAGUAACCUGGCCAAGCUCAAUGAAAAGUUAAAUGGCAAGAAUUAUUGGGAAGAAAAUCAAUUUCAGACAGGCAGGCCUCAUGAAGUUUGCAAUAUCAUGAACUGAGGAAGAAGUGAAGAUGUGAGUCAGCCUGGAGUUCAUCCCACUUCAACUUCAAUUAUCUUUGGGACGUGGACAACAGCCUCAGCAGCUAAGAGCAGAAAGUGCAGGGGUGGAAUAAGAAACUUG